GGAAUGGGGAGAAAAUACGAUGGAAAGGGCUCAAGGGUUGAGAUAAGGACAAGGAGAUUGUGCAGUAAUUAUUGUGACGGGCAAAACAGACUCAGCAUAAGGAGAUAGUAAGAUUUAUUGCCUAUUACUAACAAGCUAGAGAAGUGAGAAACAAAGGAAAGAAACCAAAAGCACCUUCCCCCCAUCCACCCUCUUCCACCUCCUCCCACCGAGCAGCGCAGGGGAACGGGGGAAUGGGGGUUAUGGUCAGCCUAUAGCGCUUCUUCUCUGCUGCUCCUUCUCAGUCACUCUCGUUCCCUGUGCUGUGGGGUCCCUCCCACACGAUGCAGUCCUUGCUGAACUGAUCCAGCGUGGGCUGCCCACAGGCAGCAGCUCUUCAAGAACUGCUCCAGAUAUGGGUCCGUACCACGGGGUCCAUCCCUCAGGAGCAAACUGCUCCAACCUGGCUCCCCCACGGGCAGCAGCUCCUGCCAGGUCACCUGCUCCUGCGUAGGCUCCUCUCCACGGGCUACAGGUCCGGCCUGGAAUCUGCUCCAGCAGGGGUCUUCCACAGGCUGCAGUCUCCGUCGGUGCAGGUCCACCUGCUCCACCGUGGUCUCCUCCACGGGCUGCAGCAUGGAACCCUGCUCCACGGUGGUACUCCAUGGGCUGCAGGGGGACAGCCUGCUUCACCAUGGUCCUCACCACAGGCCGCAGGGGACUUCUGCUCCAGCGCCUGGAGCACCUCUCCCCCUCCUUCUUCACUGACCUUGGUGCCUGCAAGGCUGUUCCUCACUCCUCUCACUCUCCCUGCUGUGUGUGGCGCAGUGUUUUUUUUUUGUUGUUUUUGUUUUUGUUUUUGUUUUUUUUCCCUUGUCUUAAAUAUGCUCUCACAGAGGCGCAAAACAACAUCUCUUAUUGGCUCAGCUCUGGUCAGCAGUGGGGCCCUUACCAAACAUGGGGCAGCUUCUAAAUCCUUCUCACGGAAGCCACCCCUAUGGCCCCUUGCUACCAAAACCUUGCCACGUAAACCCACUACAGUCUUAUUAAAUAAUAGUGCAAGCAUGGAAAAUUUUGUGCGAAGACAAUGGUGAAAGACUUUGAAGUACCAAAGGAAU
RNAcentral lists this long non-coding RNA (1097 nucleotides) under Anser brachyrhynchus (Pink-footed goose). Its description in RNAcentral is "lncRNA (ENSABRG00000017066.1)". Lineage: Eukaryota; Metazoa; Chordata; Aves; Anseriformes; Anatidae. The record is from RNAcentral.